AUUGAACGCUGGCGGCAUGCUUUACACAUGCAAGUCGAACGGUAACAGGGAGCUUGCUCCGCUGACGAGUGGCGAACGGGUGAGUAAUGCAUCGGAACGUACCCAGUCGUGGGGGGAUAACGUAGCGAAAGUUACGCUAAUACCGCAUACGUCCUGAGGGAGAAAGCGGGGGACCGUAAGGCCUCGCGCGAUUGGAGCGGCCGAUGUCGGAUUAGCUAGUUGGUAGGGUAAAGGCCUACCAAGGCGACGAUCCGUAGCGGGUCUGAGAGGAUGAUCCGCCACACUGGGACUGAGACACGGCCCAGACUCCUACGGGAGGCAGCAGUGGGGAAUUUUGGACAAUGGGCGAAAGCCUGAUCCAGCCAUGCCGCGUGAGUGAAGAAGGCCUCGGUGUAAG
Molecule: ribosomal RNA, 397 nt
Filed under: uncultured bacterium
Lineage: Bacteria
Description: bacterial SSU rRNA
Rfam family: Bacterial small subunit ribosomal RNA
Source: RNAcentral